CUUCAACGACCCCAGCAGCAGAGGCCGUUCGGACGACCGGUCGUGGCCGUACGUCGCGAGCAGCGCCUGCGCCUC
RNAcentral lists this antisense RNA (75 nucleotides) under Streptomyces regalis. RNAcentral's name for it is "ASpks TB sRNA". It matches the Rfam family "ASpks TB sRNA". Lineage: Bacteria; Bacillati; Actinomycetota; Actinomycetes; Kitasatosporales; Streptomycetaceae. The record is from Rfam by way of RNAcentral.